Molecule: ribosomal RNA, 233 nt
Filed under: uncultured bacterium
Lineage: Bacteria
Description: partial 16S ribosomal RNA
Rfam family: Bacterial small subunit ribosomal RNA
Source: RNAcentral
CUCUUCCUACGGGGUGCAGCAGUGGGGGAUAUUGCACAAUGGGGGGACCCCUGAUGCAGCGACGCCGCGUGGGUGAAGAAGCGCCUCGGCGCGUAAAGCCCUGUCAGCAGGGAAGAAGAUGACGGUACCUGAAGAAGAAGCCCCGGCUAACUACGUGCCAGCAGCCGCGGUAAUACGUAGGGGGCAAGCGUUAUCCGGAUUUACUGGGGGUAAAGGGGGCGCAGACGGCGAUG